AUUGAACGCUGGCGGCAGGCCUAACACAUGCAAGUCGAGCGGAUGAAGGGAGCUUGCUCCUGGAUUCAGCGGCGGACGGGUGAGUAAUGCCUAGGAAUCUGCCUGGUAGUGGGGGAUAACGUCCGGAAACGGGCGCUAAUACCGCAUACGUCCUGAGGGAGAAAGUGGGGGAUCUUCGGACCUCACGCUAUCAGAUGAGCCUAGGUCGGAUUAGCUAGUUGGUGGGGUAAAGGCCUACCAAGGCGACGAUCCGUAACUGGUCUGAGAGGAUGAUCAGUCACAAUGGAACUGAGACACGGUCCAGACUCCUACGGGAGGCAGCAGUGGGGAAUAUUGGACAAUGGGCGAAAGCCUGAUCCAGCCAUGCCGCGUGUGUGAAGAAGGUCUUCGGAUUGUAAAGCACUUUAAGUUGGGAAGAAGGGCAGUAAGUUAAUACCUUGCUGUUUUGACGUUACCAAAAGAAUAAGCACCGGCUAACUUCGUG
This 484-nucleotide ribosomal RNA is filed under the name uncultured bacterium. Its description in RNAcentral is "partial 16S ribosomal RNA". It matches the Rfam family "Bacterial small subunit ribosomal RNA", at positions 30 to 507 of the family's 1533-position model. The record is from RNAcentral.